RNAcentral lists this ribosomal RNA (2930 nucleotides) under Escherichia coli. Its description in RNAcentral is "23S ribosomal RNA". It matches the Rfam family "Bacterial large subunit ribosomal RNA". The record is from RNAcentral. Lineage: Bacteria; Pseudomonadati; Pseudomonadota; Gammaproteobacteria; Enterobacterales; Enterobacteriaceae.
GGGUUGUGAGGUUAAGCGACUAAGCGUACACGGUGGAUGCCCUGGCAGUCAGAGGCGAUGAAGGACGUGCUAAUCUGCGAUAAGCGUCGGUAAGGUGAUAUGAACCGUUAUAACCGGCGAUUUCCGAAUGGGGAAACCCAGUGUGAUUCGUCACACUAUCAUUAACUGAAUCCAUAGGUUAAUGAGGCGAACCGGGGGAACUGAAACAUCUAAGUACCCCGAGGAAAAGAAAUCAACCGAGAUUCCCCCAGUAGCGGCGAGCGAACGGGGAGCAGCCCAGAGCCUGAAUCAGUGUGUGUGUUAGUGGAAGCGUCUGGAAAGGCGCGCGAUACAGGGUGACAGCCCCGUACACAAAAAUGCACAUGCUGUGAGCUCGAUGAGUAGGGCGGGACACGUGGUAUCCUGUCUGAAUAUGGGGGGACCAUCCUCCAAGGCUAAAUACUCCUGACUGACCGAUAGUGAACCAGUACCGUGAGGGAAAGGCGAAAAGAACCCCGGCGAGGGGAGUGAAAAAGAACCUGAAACCGUGUACGUACAAGCAGUGGGAGCACGCUUAGGCGUGUGACUGCGUACCUUUUGUAUAAUGGGUCAGCGACUUAUAUUCUGUAGCAAGGUUAACCGAAUAGGGGAGCCGAAGGGAAACCGAGUCUUAACUGGGCGUUAAGUUGCAGGGUAUAGACCCGAAACCCGGUGAUCUAGCCAUGGGCAGGUUGAAGGUUGGGUAACACUAACUGGAGGACCGAACCGACUAAUGUUGAAAAAUUAGCGGAUGACUUGUGGCUGGGGGUGAAAGGCCAAUCAAACCGGGAGAUAGCUGGUUCUCCCCGAAAGCUAUUUAGGUAGCGCCUCGUGAAUUCAUCUCCGGGGGUAGAGCACUGUUUCGGCAAGGGGGUCAUCCCGACUUACCAACCCGAUGCAAACUGCGAAUACCGGAGAAUGUUAUCACGGGAGACACACGGCGGGUGCUAACGUCCGUCGUGAAGAGGGAAACAACCCAGACCGCCAGCUAAGGUCCCAAAGUCAUGGUUAAGUGGGAAACGAUGUGGGAAGGCCCAGACAGCCAGGAUGUUGGCUUAGAAGCAGCCAUCAUUUAAAGAAAGCGUAAUAGCUCACUGGUCGAGUCGGCCUGCGCGGAAGAUGUAACGGGGCUAAACCAUGCACCGAAGCUGCGGCAGCGACACUAUGUGUUGUUGGGUAGGGGAGCGUUCUGUAAGCCUGCGAAGGUGUGCUGUGAGGCAUGCUGGAGGUAUCAGAAGUGCGAAUGCUGACAUAAGUAACGAUAAAGCGGGUGAAAAGCCCGCUCGCCGGAAGACCAAGGGUUCCUGUCCAACGUUAAUCGGGGCAGGGUGAGUCGACCCCUAAGGCGAGGCCGAAAGGCGUAGUCGAUGGGAAACAGGUUAAUAUUCCUGUACUUGGUGUUACUGCGAAGGGGGGACGGAGAAGGCUAUGUUGGCCGGGCGACGGUUGUCCCGGUUUAAGCGUGUAGGCUGGUUUUCCAGGCAAAUCCGGAAAAUCAAGGCUGAGGCGUGAUGACGAGGCACUACGGUGCUGAAGCAACAAAUGCCCUGCUUCCAGGAAAAGCCUCUAAGCAUCAGGUAACAUCAAAUCGUACCCCAAACCGACACAGGUGGUCAGGUAGAGAAUACCAAGGCGCUUGAGAGAACUCGGGUGAAGGAACUAGGCAAAAUGGUGCCGUAACUUCGGGAGAAGGCACGCUGAUAUGUAGGUGAAGUCCCUCGCGGAUGGAGCUGAAAUCAGUCGAAGAUACCAGCUGGCUGCAACUGUUUAUUAAAAACACAGCACUGUGCAAACACGAAAGUGGACGUAUACGGUGUGACGCCUGCCCGGUGCCGGAAGGUUAAUUGAUGGGGUCAGCGCAAGCGAAGCUCUUGAUCGAAGCCCCGGUAAACGGCGGCCGUAACUAUAACGGUCCUAAGGUAGCGAAAUUCCUUGUCGGGUAAGUUCCGACCUGCACGAAUGGCGUAAUGAUGGCCAGGCUGUCUCCACCCGAGACUCAGUGAAAUUGAACUCGCUGUGAAGAUGCAGUGUACCCGCGGCAAGACGGAAAGACCCCGUGAACCUUUACUAUAGCUUGACACUGAACAUUGAGCCUUGAUGUGUAGGAUAGGUGGGAGGCUUUGAAGUGUGGACGCCAGUCUGCAUGGAGCCGACCUUGAAAUACCACCCUUUAAUGUUUGAUGUUCUAACGUUGACCCGUGAUCCGGGUUGCGGACAGUGUCUGGUGGGUAGUUUGACUGGGGCGGUCUCCUCCUAAAGAGUAACGGAGGAGCACGAAGGUUGGCUAAUCCUGGUCGGACAUCAGGAGGUUAGUGCAAUGGCAUAAGCCAGCUUGACUGCGAGCGUGACGGCGCGAGCAGGUGCGAAAGCAGGUCAUAGUGAUCCGGUGGUUCUGAAUGGAAGGGCCAUCGCUCAACGGAUAAAAGGUACUCCGGGGAUAACAGGCUGAUACCGCCCAAGAGUUCAUAUCGACGGCGGUGUUUGGCACCUCGAUGUCGGCUCAUCACAUCCUGGGGCUGAAGUAGGUCCCAAGGGUAUGGCUGUUCGCCAUUUAAAGUGGUACGCGAGCUGGGUUUAGAACGUCGUGAGACAGUUCGGUCCCUAUCUGCCGUGGGCGCUGGAGAACUGAGGGGGGCUGCUCCUAGUACGAGAGGACCGGAGUGGACGCAUCACUGGUGUUCGGGUUGUCAUGCCAAUGGCACUGCCCGGUAGCUAAAUGCGGAAGAGAUAAGUGCUGAAAGCAUCUAAGCACGAAACUUGCCCCGAGAUGAGUUCUCCCUGACUCCUUGAGAGUCCUGAAGGAACGUUGAAGACGACGACGUUGAUAGGCCGGAUGUGUAAGCGCAGCGAUGCGUUGAGCUAACCGGUACUAAUGAACCGUGAGGCUUAACCUUACAACGCCGAAGGUGUUU